This 253-nucleotide ribosomal RNA is filed under the name uncultured bacterium. RNAcentral describes it as "partial 16S ribosomal RNA". It matches the Rfam family "Bacterial small subunit ribosomal RNA", at positions 524 to 776 of the family's 1533-position model. The record is from RNAcentral.
UACGUAGGGGGCAAGCGUUGUCCGGAAUCAUUGGGCGUAAAGCGCGCGUAGGCGGCCCGGUAAGUCCGCUGUGAAAGUCCAGGGCUCAACCCUGGAAAGCCGGUGGAUACUGCCGGGCUAGAGUCCGGAAGAGGCGAGUGGAACUCCUGGUGUAGCGGUGGAAUGCGCAGAUAUCAGGAAGAACACCAACGGCGAAGGCAGCUCGCUGGGACGGUACUGACGCUGAGACGCGAAAGCGUGGGGAGCGAACAGG